AUGACACAUUUUGAAAAUUUUCCCAGCAUAGUGUUCAUUCAUGUGUUUUUCAUUACUUUUCAUUUAAAUGAAGUCUUCUCUGCCAAUCUCUUUUUUUGCAUGAGACAGGUGGAUUUUAUCUUACAUUUGAAUCUACAUUUGAAUAAUAUCGUUCUCAUUCUAGUUAUGUUCAGAGACGAAGGAAUCCAACCAUCUCAUGAGAGACUUGUUGAGGAACCGGCACAAAAGGUGCUUUCUGCAGACCAAGAUUCUAUGGCUAAGGCUCAAGUUAACACAUGCUGCAGAGGAGAUAUCCUGUUCUCAGGGGUGAAAAAAGUGUUUGUGAUACAUUCAGCAGCACCAGAAGAAGGGCAGGGUCCCUGCAUCUGAAGGCCUGGAACCUCCUGAGAUCCAGCUGUGAGCCCCAGGGAGGAAAUGCAAAAGAAGGAAUCCUGACAUCUUUGGAAACCAAGGCAGGAACCCUCUGGACACUAAAGAGCUGCUCUAGUUUUACCUCAGCACGUCCUGAGCUCACUCCACUGUUCUUUUGGAGGUAGGCGCUGGCCAAGUCCUGACUAGAGAGGCAGAUUCCUCAGGAGCUGCAAAUGAUUCACCACAUUCCUAUUUUUGUUCACUGGUUUUCUGUAACCAAAUCACUAUUUAGAUGAAAAUCAUUUGUCUGCAGUGCAAUUAUAUCCAUUCAACCUGCACAGUCCCAUGCCGCACUGUACUCAUUUUUCUCUACUUAUUCUUCACCACGUUAUUCCAAACAAUCCAGUAAGUUUAUAUUUUAUGGGUAGGAAGACAAGAUGGGAAAGGUUUAGGUGGCCGUUUGAACACCCAGAGUCUGUCAUCAGUUUUGGGAUUAGGUGCUGCAUGUGAUUGAUAUUCAGGGAUGAGCUAAUCCCCUGAUUGAGCCACUUUUUAAGGAUAUAUUUGGGUGAUUGAGAAAGAGGAGGUGAAGAAGGAGUGGGGGCCAAACCAGUCUCUGGUAACAUUGUGUGUUUGCAAACCAGUUACCUCCUAUCUGUGUUCCAGUGCUUUCCAAACUCAUUCUAUCUCAGCAUUUAGGCAUGUUAGCUGGGAUCCUGGAGUACCUGUGGGGGACUCUCAGCAUAUUACAGAAGCUGUGAUCAGGUGGGGACAUCAUUGGGUGGGAGGUAUUGCAGUCCCUUGGUAGUGGUUUGAGAGGUGUCAUCCAGGCAUUUGUCCCCCAAAGCUGUACAGACAAGUAUCUCACAUGAAAGCAAAACCUUGCUGCUGCAGGACAGGCAGCAUAGGAUUCUGCCUGGGUUCUCCCUGUGUGAUAUUUUUGCUAUUCAGGGGGGCUCUUGAAGCUUUAGGGUUGCUAAUCUUUACAUGCAAAUCCUUUUUCAGAGUUGUUAUUGCCAAGGUACACCACAGAGUCAGCAGGCUAUUUAAAAAGCAAAACAGCACAGUGGACAAACGAAGAAAACCCUCAGACUUUGGGUGUCCCCAGUUGCAAGCAGAACCAGACAGUCUCCCCGUGUCUAUCAUAUGCCACUACUUGUACACCUGCAGUUCUUACCUGCAGAUCUGCUGUCUCACCCAGUUACUCUCCCAGUGCAGGUUCGGAUAGUUGACUCGUCACCUCAAACUGGAGCUUUGUACUUGUCUAGUGAAUUACAUACUAUUAUUUAGUUCAGUCCAUGUAUCCCAUUUACCAAGAUUUUACUGGAAAUCUAAGCAGGUGACCUCCAACACAUUUUCUGCUCUUCCUAGUCCAGUACAGUCUACAGAAGGAAGAAGUUUGGUCUGUCUUUCUUCAUGUGUAUCAGCAGGGAAAUUCAAAGUAGCUGUACUGUAGCUAGGGAUCCCAGAGUUGUUGCAGCAACCCUCAGACUGAAAGUGGACACUCUUAGCCCAGUUUCCCAACACCUCCACAACCAUCUUCAUCUAGUUAAAAUUAGUAAAACUGUGGUGAUAAUGUCAUAUAACUCUAUACCAAAAGCCAUAAAAUUCUGCUACUUCACCCUUACCUUGCUUUCUUUUCUCAAAGAAUCAGGAAUAAAAUCACCUGGCAUUAUCA
Molecule: long non-coding RNA, 2029 nt
Organism: Cyanistes caeruleus (blue tit)
Lineage: Eukaryota; Metazoa; Chordata; Aves; Passeriformes; Paridae
Source: Ensembl